RNAcentral lists this ribosomal RNA (503 nucleotides) under uncultured bacterium. RNAcentral's name for it is "bacterial SSU rRNA". It matches the Rfam family "Bacterial small subunit ribosomal RNA", at positions 29 to 524 of the family's 1533-position model. The record is from RNAcentral.
AACGAACGCUGGCGGCGCGCUUAACACAUGCAAGUCGAACGAGAAGGCGUAGCAAUACGCUUGUACAGUGGCGAACGGGUGAGGAAUACAUGGGUAACCUACCCUCGAGUGGGGGAUAACCCGCCGAAAGGCGGGCUAAUACCGCGUACGCUUCCGAUCUUGCGGGAUUGGAAGGAAAGCUGUCCCUUGGGGAUGGCGCUCAAGGAUGGGCUCAUGUCCUAUCAGCUUGUUGGAGGGUAACGGCCUACCAAGGCAUCGACGGGUAGCUGGUCUGAGAGGACGAUCAGCCACACUGGCACUGCGACACGGGCCAGACUCCUACGGGAGGCAGCAGUGAGGAAUAUUGCGCAAUGGGCGAAAGCCUGACGCAGCGACGCCGCGUGGGGGAUGAAGGUCUUCGGAUUGUAAACCCCUUUCGGGAGGGAAGACGGCCUUAGACAACUAAGGCGGACGGUACCUCCAGAAGCAGCCACGGCUAACUUCGUGCCAGCAGCCGCCGUAAC